This 713-nucleotide ribosomal RNA is filed under the name Diacyclops galbinus. Its description in RNAcentral is "SSU rRNA". It matches the Rfam family "Eukaryotic small subunit ribosomal RNA", at positions 578 to 1286 of the family's 1831-position model. The record is from RNAcentral. Lineage: Eukaryota; Metazoa; Arthropoda; Copepoda; Cyclopoida; Cyclopidae.
GGUAAUUCCAGCUCCAAUAGCGUAUAUUAAAGUUGUUGCGGUUAAAAAGCUCGUAGUUGGAUCUCGGCGGGCAGGGGGCGGUCCGUUAUUUGACGCGACUGCCCCAUUUGCCCGUGUUUCUUCGGCAGAACUCCCGGGGUGCUCUUCGCCGAGUGUCCCGUUGGGGGCUGCCAGGUUUACUUUGAAAAAAUUAGAGUGCUCCAAGCAGGCUCGACACGCCUGAAUAUUCGUGCAUGGAAUAAUGGAAUAGGACGUCGUUCCUAUUUUGUUGGUUUUCGGGAAUCGACGUAAUGAUUAAUAGGGACAGUCGGGGGCAUUAGUAUUCAGACGACAGAGGUGAAAUUCUUGGACCGUCUGGCGACUCACUGCUGCGAAAGCGUUUGCCAAGUAUGUUUUCAUUAAUCAAGAACGAAAGUUAGAGGUUCGAAGGCGAUCAGAUACCGCCCUAGUUCUAACCAUAAACGAUGCCAGCUAGCGAUCCGCAGACGUUUUUAUUGUAGGCUCUGCGGGAAGCUUCCGGGAAACCAAAGCGUUUGGGUUCCGGGGGAAGUAUGGUUGCAAAGCUGAAACUUAAAGAAAUUGACGGAAGGGCACCACCAGGCGUGGAACUUGCGGCUUAAUUUGACUCAACACUGGAAAUCUCACCAGGCCCGGACACCGGAAGGAUUGACAGAUUGAGAGCUCUUUCUCGAUUCGGUGGGUGGUGGUGCAUG